GGCUAGAGUUUGAUCAUGGCUCAGGAUAAACGCUGGCGGCGCACAUAAGACAUGCAAGUCGAACGAACUUAACCAUUAGUUUACUAUUGGAGCGGUUAGUGGCGGACUGGUGAGUAACACGUAAGCAACCUGCCUGUUAGAGGGGAACAACAGUUAGAAAUGACUGCUAAUACCGCAUAUGCCAUAGUAAGGACAUCCUUACAGUGGGAAAGGAGAAAUCCGCUAACAGCUGGGCUUGCGUCUGAUUAGAUAGUUGGUGUGGUAAUGGCAUACCAAGUCGACGAUCAGUAGCCGGACUGAGAGGUUGAACGGCCACAUUGGGACUGAGAUACGGCCCAGACUCCUACGGGAGGCAGCAGUCGGGAAUAUUGCGCAAUGGAGGAAACUCUGACGCAGUGACGCCGCGUGCAGGAAGAAGGUUUUCGGAUUGUAAACUGCUUUAGACAGGGAAGAAAAAGGACAGUACCUGUAGAAUAAGCUCCGGCUAACUACGUGCCAGCAGCCGCGGUAAUACGUAGGGAGCAAGCGUUAUCCGGAUUUAUUGGGUGUAAAGGGUGCGUAGACGGGAAGUUAAGUUAGUUGUGAAAUCCCUCGGCUCAACUGAGGAACUGCAACUAAAACUGAUUUUCUUGAGUGCUGGAGAGGAAAGUGGAAUUCCUAGUGUAGCGGUGAAAUGCGUAGAUAUUAGGAGGAACACCAGUGGCGAAGGCGACUUUCUGGACAGUAACUGACGUUGAGGCACGAAAGUGUGGGGAGCAAACAGGAUUAGAUACCCUGGUAGUCCACACCGUAAACGAUGGAUACUAGGUGUAGGGGAUGAAUAAUCUUCUGUGCCGUCGCNAACGCAGUAAGUAUCCCACCUGGGGAGUACGGCCGC
This 877-nucleotide ribosomal RNA is filed under the name uncultured bacterium. Its description in RNAcentral is "bacterial SSU rRNA". It matches the Rfam family "Bacterial small subunit ribosomal RNA", at positions 1 to 889 of the family's 1533-position model. The record is from RNAcentral.